RNAcentral lists this long non-coding RNA (989 nucleotides) under Olea europaea subsp. europaea. Lineage: Eukaryota; Viridiplantae; Streptophyta; Magnoliopsida; Lamiales; Oleaceae. The record is from RNAcentral.
CGGGAAAGGGAGAAUUAUUCUAAAAACAAGUAACAAUAGAAACUGAAAAAGAAAAAAAUGGGACAGGACAUAAAUACGACGUCGUAAAAUCGUGUAGAUAAAUACUUAUUGGGACAAGUCCAACUACACACAGCCCAACUUCAAGAACUUCACGUAGAUCACUAACCCUAAAAUUUUCAUUUAUAGGAACACUGACAUUUCCACCAAAAACAUAUGCAGAAGGCGUAAGCGGAUCCCUUUGUAUUUCAACCAGUCUCUCCCAAUUGUCGUAGAUUUUAUACAAUCGAAAAAGUUUAGAGCACUUCUCUUCAUCAUCUGCGCGUGUAAGUGAGUAGAAUCUGUGGCAACUGGUAGAGACGGGUUGGAACUACACUAAGGAGAGACGAUUUUCGUGAAAUUGCUCUGUUUCAUCAUCUUUCAGAUCCAGAUUCAGUCCGAAGUUGUGGAUGGUAAAUAAUUGGCUACUGAGUUCGUUUAGCCUUCUCAUAAUAUUUUCUUAACCUCACUCUCAUGGUUUUAUAUUUUCAGUAUUGAAAUUUCAUUUGAAUGUUAGAAUUUAGAUGAAUAUACUUAAAAUCUCACAAGUUUUUGGCCUCUAAAAAAUCCAGAAUUUUCGGGAGGCAUCUUAACACGCGUAGCUAUUUUCUGUUUAGUGCGUUGAAAGUUAACUUUAUUAGUUAUUUGCAUCUAGGGCUGAAAAUAGAUUGGAUAUGGACUGGAUCUAUCCAUAUCUUUCCAUAUCCGAUCUGAUAAGAAUAAUUCAUUGAUUCAAUCCGAUAAUUUAUGGGUAUUUGAUUGUUAAAUUCAUAUUCGAUUUGUUAUGAUAUCAAAUAUUCGAUUCAAUCCAAUAAUCCGAUCCGAAACAUUUUACACAUUCUUUUUUCAUUGAAAGAGUCGAUUUUCAAUUUGAUUGCAAUAUUUAUUAUAAUUUACUAAUUUUAUGUUGAAAUUUGAUCAGUUUGACAUUAUUCAAAAAACCCAUAAAAUAU